UCCAAAUAUGGAAUCUUAUCAUUUUAUUAACUAUUAAUUGUCUGCAUUGCUUGUAAUGUAGUUAUAGGGACUCUAAAAGUCAGAAUUAUAAUAGCAACUUUUUCAGAUUAUAGUCAGGUUUCUAUUAAAUUGUGAGGAGGUUUCUGGUUGCAUUAUCCUUAAAUGGUGAUACAGUCUAAUAGAUUAAUGCCAACUUAAUACAUGCCAUGACGAAAGUGGAAUCCAAAUUAAAAGCAACCUGUCAGAACUGGCCAAUAUAUAAAUAUUGUGUUUCUACACCAUAAUUUUGUAAAUAUGUCUGCUUUCUUUUUUCUUUUUCUUUUUAAACUUAUCCAGGAAGGUCAGAUAUUUCUACAUACAAUUUUUAAAAUAAAAGAGUAAUUCAUAAAAAUUAAAAAGAUCAGGACACCUAGUACUCGGAGUUCCCUGUUAAUUAGUCUUCUUGGGAAAACCUGCCUAUGAUUUAAAAAAAUAAUAAUAAAAUAAAGCUCUUGUCGUUAAAACCCACUGCAUUUCCUUUUGUGCAACUGAAUGUUGUUAACAAUGUUGCAUUCUGGUGAAGUAAAAAAAUCUAAAACUGCACUGAAGUGUUAGUAAUUGGUUCUUGAGCAGAUUCCCCCCUAAUGCUAUUCACUUUUCCCUGCUAAUCUUCCUGUGUGAGCUGUAACAAUGCAGCACCAAGUGAGAAGGAAAUGUCAGGUUAUGUUUCAGGGCCAGCCUCCUGCCCACCCUCCAUCUGUGCUGAUGUCAGUGCUUAUUGGAACAUAUGCUGCCUGUUGCUCACUGGCCAUCUGUUAGCUGAGCUGAUGAAGUGUUCCGGUUGCCGUGGUGACGGAACCCUCGCUUAACAAGAGAGAAGAACAAAUGGAUCUCCCAAGGAAGAGCAUCCCAUAAUUUUUUGACCACCACAUUGAAAACCAUAUCCUUUGUGCUCAAGAAAUUGACAUCUGUAAGGAUGAUAUGCAGGAUUGAACCAACUGAUCUUAUAACAUGGGCAAUGGAAUCAUACAGGAAGAAUCACUCCUUGGACCCAAACCAUUAUUAAAGCUUAAAAUCACUUUCAGCUGAACACAGGAAGACAUUAUAAAUCACAUAAGUUAUUUUAAAACCGGCAACUUUAAAGUUGGUGGUAACUUAAAUUCUUCUUGAUAAGCUGACAGUUGCCUCCUGUAUGCCACUGAAGUUUCUAGGUCAUCAUCUUCAAAGGCAGCUCUGCAUAGAAUAUAUAUUAAUCGUCUCUGGAAGCUACCAUGGUGGGAAUCGCAAUAGACAGGUUUCUGUUUUCCAGCAGGUGGUGUAGUUGCUAGACCAACCAAAGGGGUGUGUGUGGCACAUCGUACCUCCACCUCUGAAUGCCUUAAGAGCAAUGUUGAGCCCAGCAAUGUCUACAGACUGUGAAGCCUACUUCCAUUCCCAGUACAGUACCUGUAAAAUAUGGCCCUUUUGCCAGAGUUUGGAAAAAUGAUAUUUUGGGACUAAAAUUCCCAGACUCCUCUAGCCAGCAGGGCUCCUGGGCUGACUGGGGAAAGGACAGCAUUUAGGAGGCACAAUAAAGGUUAAAAAUACAUUCCCA
Pogona vitticeps (central bearded dragon) is the source of this 1573-nucleotide long non-coding RNA. The record is from Ensembl. Lineage: Eukaryota; Metazoa; Chordata; Lepidosauria; Squamata; Agamidae.